AGAGUUUGAUCCUGGCUCAGAACGAACGCUGGCGGCAGGCCUAAUACAUGCAAGUCGAACGCACUCUUCGGAGUGAGUGGCAGACGGGUGAGUAACGCGUGGGAAUUUUCCUUGCAGUACGGAAUAACUCCGGGAAACCGGUGCUAAUACCGUAUACGCCCUUUGGGGGAAAGAUUUAUCGCUGCAAGAUAAGCCCGCGUCGGAUUAGCUAGUUGGUGGGGUAAUGGCCUACCAAGGCUUCGAUCCGUAGCUGGUCUGAGAGGAUGAUCAGCCACACUGGGACUGAGACACGGCCCAGACUCCUACGGGAGGCAGCAGUAGGGAAUAUUGGACAAUGGGCGAAAGCCUGAUCCAGCCAUGCCGCGUGAGUGAAGAAGGCCUUAGGGUUGUAAAGCUCUUUUGGCGGGGACGAUAAUGACGGUACCCGCAGAAUAAGCUCCGGCUAACUUCGUGCCAGCAGCCGCGGUAAUACGAAGGGGGCUAGCGUUGUUCGGAAUCACUGGGCGUAAAGCGCACGCAGGCGGAUUGAUAAGUCAGGGGUGAAAUCCCGGAGCUCAACUUCGGAAUUGCCUUUGAUACUGUCUGUCUUGAGUCCGGGAGAGGUGAGUGGAAUUCCUAGUGUAGAGGUGAAAUUCGUAGAUAUUAGGAAGAACACCAGUGGCGAAGGCGGCUCACUGGCCCGGUACUGACGCUCAUGUGCGAAAGCGUGGGGAGCAAACAGGAUUAGAUACCCUAGUAGUCC
Molecule: ribosomal RNA, 742 nt
Filed under: uncultured bacterium
Lineage: Bacteria
Description: bacterial SSU rRNA
Rfam family: Bacterial small subunit ribosomal RNA
Source: RNAcentral